CAUUGUAAGGAUUGAGAUCCCUUUACUUUUCCACAUGAACCACUGUUAUUCCAACACUGGUUACUCAAUGAACCAUCUUCUCUGUGAUUAAUUGAAAUGCCACCUUCACAUACACAGACACUCGUAGGGCCUAUCCACUGGGUCACUCUCUCUGCCUUGCCUCUUGUAGCUUUAAAACUCAAUUCAGUAUUUGUUAAGACCCUUCUCUGCCUGCACUACUGUCCUUUUUCAGAAGUUUCCUGCUAUUGUUACAAAUUGAUUUCCAAUUGAACUUUACUUUCCUUUUUUAAGUUUCCCUCAAAAAAGUCUAUCUGGAAACGUUACUAACAUCAUAUUGAUAUUAUAGACUUUAUUAAUUUAGGGAGAAUAUAUGUCUUCAUAAUAUUAAAUAUUUCACCUAAAGAUUGAGAUAUUAAUUAAAUUAAAUAAACGCAUGGGAGUGGGAUGGAGGCUGUGUGUGAGGGAUGGAUUAUUAAAGUGGUCCAUAAAUAUAUUUUAUGUCACUUAAAAAUAAUGUAGAAUUCCUCACAGCCAUCUUGAAAAACAGAGUGUAUAUAUAGCUCAAUAAACAAACAUUGACUAUAAUAAUAUUCCAGUAAGAAAAUAUUUUGCUUCUACAAAUAAAAAUAUGUGGCCAUUAAAAGGAUUUCUUUAGCAGAGUCCUCCACAUUGCAAAAUUCUAUAAACAGAAACCAACAUUUUUAUAACCAGAAUACCCUAAAGGGCAAUGAAUUACUUCAUCUCCCACACGAAACAACCCUAGCAUGAAAUUAGGGGGUGACAUCAUAGAAGGCCCCAGUCCAUCAUAUUAAAAUAUGUAGAGUAGAACAAAAGAGUCAUAGUCUAUCUUUUAUCACAUUUUAUGACGUGAAGUUUGAAAUGCAGGAUGCGUCAACCUAUUAGCAGAAGGAGUAAGAGCUACACCCUUUAACAAGUUGCAAGAACCAGUAACAGACCCAGGAAUAAAUAUGAAUGCCUGAUCACCACAAGAUGCGCUCUGUCAAGAUGACUUCCACUGUGACAUUUGGGUAAAAAUCCAGAUGGCAAAAUGAUAGAAGAGCUCUGGAUUUGAAACCAGAAAAUCCAGUUUCAUGUUCUAGUUAUUCAGCCAGUAGUUUAAUCUCUGUGAGCCUCAUCAAUAAAGUGAGGAUGAUGGAGCCUCUCAAAGUCCUUGAGAACAUCCCAUGAAACUAGACGUUGAAACUGCUUUACAUAACAUAAAGCGUCAUACUAACUAUAAAAUCACCCCAAUUUGUUGUCAGUUAGGCAGAGUAGGGUUUCCUUCAAAAAUAUGCAGAUCAUUUCUCAAAAGUCUUGCUGUUCCCAGUAGAUGCCAGCUGACUUCACAAGCUAAAAGUUGGUUGUAAACAGCUGUCCUGCAGUAGAUGGACAAGCCUCAAGCUGCUCCUCCUCCGCUCAGGCGCCCAGCGUGAACAGCAAAGAGGCCUGGGAACUCACUUUCUCUCUUUGUGUUGCUGCCCACCAUCUGUUUCUUGCAGCACAGGAAUCUUCAUCUAGAAAUCUCUGCAUUGCCUCUGCUUUUCCCCAGCCAUCACAGUUUCUUCUUUCUUUACAUAUCAGCCACCAUGACGAUGUUUAUUAACCCAACUACAAGAAAUGUUGAAAAAGAGUAGAGCAGAUUUCCUUAAUGACAAGUUUUGAUAGCCUCUUUAGCCAGCCAUAUCACAUGCAAUCUUGUCACCUUUGUCACCUGGGUCAUUUAAAAACAAUUAACUCCUGAU
RNAcentral lists this long non-coding RNA (1742 nucleotides) under Equus caballus (horse). Its description in RNAcentral is "lncRNA (ENSECAG00000046299.1)". Lineage: Eukaryota; Metazoa; Chordata; Mammalia; Perissodactyla; Equidae. The record is from RNAcentral.